Long non-coding RNA from Panicum virgatum (switchgrass), 1104 nucleotides. RefSeq lists it as uncharacterized. NCBI's taxonomy places the organism in Eukaryota, Viridiplantae, Streptophyta, Magnoliopsida, Poales, Poaceae. The transcript is spliced from 2 exons. The record is from RefSeq and is a predicted model, not a curated record.
GUCAACACCGAGCUGCCCGAGACAGGCUCACAGACCUCACGCGAAUCCGGUCCUCCCCCUAGGCCCUAGUGCUUCGUCGUAUGCCGCCGCCGGCCUGGCUGCUCGGCGCCGUCCUUGCUCCUCUGCGACGCCACCACCGGCCGGGCUCGGAGCGCCACCCCUGCUCGCCCGCACCCGCGCCGCCAGCGAGGGCGCCGCCGGAGGCCGGUCUCGCAGCGCCGCCCCUACUCGCCCGCCCCCGCGCCGCCGGCGAGGGCGCCUCCGCAGGCCGGGCUCGCAGCGCCACCCCUGCUCGCCCGCACCCACGCUGCCGGCGAGGGCGCCGCCGCAGGCCGGGUUCGUAGCGCUGACCCUGCUCGCCCGCCCCCGCGCCGCCAGCGAGGGAGCCUCCACAGGCCGGGCUCGCAGCGCCGCCCCAACUGCCUCCGGGCUCUGCGUGGCGUUCCAGGUCGAUGCCUUUCAAAUUCUCUUCUGCAUCCACUCUGCUCAGCUCGUCCGUGUUCAAUCCUGCCCUCUCUGUUCUGAUGGCCAUUUCAAUUCCCCCCAUCCGCUUUCAAGCCAUUCUGUUCUUUGGUUGGAGCCAGCGCCAAGGUCGCCUCAAGAGAUGGUAUUCCCGACAGCCUCUCCAUUGACAAGAACUCAAUCAGAAGUAGAACCGAAGGAGUACAAUGGAUCAAAGACAUGGAUCAAAGCACUGAAUCUCCAAGGAGUCCAUACGAAGAUCAAGACAACCGAAGGAUGGAUCUUCUCACAGGCAGUUCAGCAUGUCUAUUUGACUUUACCAUGGUGACUAGCACGGGAUUGCAAAGCCUCUGUGUAAUGAUAGGCCUGAUGAAUUAUGUGUAAUGUCUGAACAAAAGGAUGUAUUGUGCAGACGCAUCCUCGCUGUAAACGGCAUCUGAAUAUAUUCAGUGUGUAAUUCAGUACAUAGGUUUGAUUUAUUAUGUGUAUCUGAAUAUAUUCAGUGUGUAAUUCAGUACAUAGGUUUGAUUUAUUAUGUGUAAUGCCUCUCCGAAAGGAUGGAUUGGCAAUGGCAAUUGUGCCUUCUGUGUAAUGAACUUGUGUGUUGAGAAUGAAAAUGAAUGAAAUAUGUUUCACAAUCCA